GCUGAGAAGCGAAAAGCCGCAGGCGGCCGCCGACUUCACAGCCGCUCGGGGUUUUUAGAGCUUCAGCUAUAAAAAUGGGCAGGAUUUUCCUUGAUCAUAUCAGUGGUACCCGUCUGUUUUCCUGUGCAAACUGCGAUACGAUCCUGACCAAUCGUUCGGAACUCAUCUCUACUCGAUUCACAGGCGCCACUGGCAGAGCAUUUCUUUUUAACAAGGUAGUUAACCUACAGUAUAGUGAAGUUCAAGAUCAGGUCAUGCUCACUGGCCGCCACAUGGUUCGAGACGUGAGCUGCAAAAACUGCAAUAGCAAACUGGGAUGGAUCUAUGAGUUUGCCACUGAAGACAGCCAGAGUUAUAAGGAAGGUCGUGUGAUCCUGGAACGCGCUCUAGUUCGAGAAAGUGAGGGCUUUGAGGAGCAUGUACCAUCUGAUAACUCUUGAAGAAAAAGAAAUCCAUCUUUUCCUAGGUCUCCUUCACUGAAAACAAAAAUCUACUUACAUACACUGUCACCUUAGCAUCAGAGUCGGAUUCAUGAACUGUGGAACAAGAGGUUGUGAGAAUCUUUGAUGGAACCUUCCUUUCUUUCCUUUUUUUUUUAAAAUUUUCUAUUUUCCAUCCAACAGCAGUGUGUAGAGAGAAUAUUAUGCAGAUGCCUUUUUUUUUCCCCCUGUGUUUACAUCUUGAGGCAGAAUAGUCUAUCUGCAGCUACAUGGUGGGCUAUGUGAGGAAAAAAAUCUGGGCUAUUAAGAGUGAAAAAGUAUUUUAUGUAAAUUUUGCAAGGAAAAUGUGUCAAGAGCAUGGUUUUUAAGUUUAUUUGGGCUUCAUUUUAAGACUUUUUUCUAAAGCUCAGUUAUUUCAUUUGAUUUGCCAGCUUCAGAGGAGAGAUCCGAGUCUGUGACCAGCGCUGAAGGCUCAGUGCUAGUGUUGCUCGUGCUGGCCAUUGUGCCAUGUUCUUGUUGGGGAUGAACCGUAGCAUCAGAGCCCAUUCUUCCUUGUCAGUCCUGACCCAAAGAUGUCACCAUUCCUAGUUAUUUGUCACCACAUGAUUGGUGUUGAUUGGAAACUUUUCCUGAUGUGGGGCAGAACUGCUUGGUUGUCUUUUCCAUGUAACUUAAGCAUAGUAAUAUAAAUAAAGUAAUAGUUGGAAAAAAAAA
Odocoileus virginianus texanus is the source of this 1154-nucleotide non-coding RNA. Lineage: Eukaryota; Metazoa; Chordata; Mammalia; Artiodactyla; Cervidae. The record is from RefSeq and is a predicted model, not a curated record.